RNAcentral lists this ribosomal RNA (69 nucleotides) under Gilbertiodendron jongkindii. RNAcentral describes it as "partial 26S ribosomal RNA". It matches the Rfam family "Eukaryotic large subunit ribosomal RNA", at positions 1 to 65 of the family's 3401-position model. Lineage: Eukaryota; Viridiplantae; Streptophyta; Magnoliopsida; Fabales; Fabaceae. The record is from RNAcentral.
AAUGCGACCUCAGCUCAGGCGGGGCUACCCGCUGAGUUUAAGCAUAUCAAUAAGCGGAGGAAAAGAAAC